UACGUAGGGUGCGAGCGUUAAUCGGAAUUACUGGGCGUAAAGCGUGCGCAGGCGGUUGUGCAAGACAGAUGUGAAAUCCCCGGGCUUAACCUGGGAACUGCAUUUGUGACUGCACGGCUAGAGUACGGCAGAGGGGGAUGGAAUUCCGCGUGUAGCAGUGAAAUGCGUAGAGAUGUGGAGGAACACCGAUGGCGAAGGCAGCCUCCUGGGCCAGCACUGACGCUCAUGCACGAAAGCGUGGGGAGCAAACAGG
Molecule: ribosomal RNA, 253 nt
Filed under: uncultured bacterium
Lineage: Bacteria
Description: partial 16S ribosomal RNA
Rfam family: Bacterial small subunit ribosomal RNA
Source: RNAcentral